GGGGAUGCUGGGCUUUGACAGUUAAUCCUUUCAUUGUGUGCAGAAUGAGGUGACGUUACUCAUUAAAUAUGUCAAAACUACAAGUGCAAAUAAACUUGUUAGCAAGGCAACAUCAUUGUUUACAAUGCCAAGCCUUGUGCCAGCUGCUGUUUAAUUUUUUAAACGGUCGCCAUCGGUCUGCUGAUGCUUGCUAAGCAAUCACCGGUGUCAUUUUGCAAGCUAGGUUAUAAAAACGCCUUAGAUUAUAACUGAAACUAUUAUAAGGCUAGAGAUUCAAUCCUUUUGUUAACCUUUGAGGUUGAAUUCUUGAUCAAAAUAAGGUAAACUAUUUCUGUAGACUCACUCUGAUUAAUUGACUGGACGCGGGUUCAACUCCCGCCAUCUCCACCA
This 390-nucleotide transfer-messenger RNA is filed under the name Patescibacteria group. RNAcentral's name for it is "JABMRF01 sp018674305 Standard tmRNA". It matches the Rfam family "transfer-messenger RNA". From Rfam's summary of the family: Bacterial tmRNA, also known as 10Sa RNA or SsrA, is named for its dual tRNA and mRNA-like properties. Its role is to liberate the mRNA from a stalled ribosome. To accomplish this part of the tmRNA is used as a reading frame that ends in a translation stop signal. The record is from RNAcentral. RNAcentral also lists the same sequence under 2 other names.